RNAcentral lists this unclassified non-coding RNA (402 nucleotides) under Hevea brasiliensis (rubber tree). The record is from RNAcentral. Lineage: Eukaryota; Viridiplantae; Streptophyta; Magnoliopsida; Malpighiales; Euphorbiaceae.
GGGGAGCAUUGUGCUAUUGUAAGAUGGGUUAAAGUUCAAUCUCAUGCGAACUAUUUAAUUUCUUUUAACUUCUAUCUGAUAAUAUGCAAAACAGUCAUCUAAAACCAUACUAUUGAAACAUAUUGUUUGUUGAAAAGAAGCCCAGAAAGGAUUGCUUAAGCUUUGAUGCUUAUAUAGAAGUAUAGUUGUGUUUUUGUUGGUUGGGUGGAUUGUGGGAUAAUGCCUACAUUGUGGUCAUCUUACUUUCUUCUUAAUGAAAUUUUCACUGAAAGUUAUAAUUUUGUUUUUUUAUCCCUUGCCUACAGAAAAUUCCAAAAUUAUAGUUUGUAUUACAAUUUUAAUAAAGGGUUAAUUUUGAAAGUUGGGUUAUUGGUUGAAGUUAAUUUUGUAACUAACCCCCUG